GACAGAGGUGCCAAGCGUUAGGCGGAAUCACUGGGCUUAAAGCGUGUGUAGGCGGGUCGUUAAGUACCUUGUGAAAUCCCCCGGCUCAACCGGGGAACGGCUGGGUAUACUGGCGAUCUCGAGCCACCUAGGGGCAGUCGGAACAAGUGGUGGAGCGGUGAAAUGCGUAGAGAUCUGGAAGAACACCAAAGGCGAAGGCAGCAUCCUGGGAAGUUCCUGACGCUCGGGUGCGAAAGCCAGGGGAGCGAACGGG
This 253-nucleotide ribosomal RNA is filed under the name uncultured bacterium. RNAcentral describes it as "partial 16S ribosomal RNA". It matches the Rfam family "Bacterial small subunit ribosomal RNA", at positions 524 to 776 of the family's 1533-position model. The record is from RNAcentral.